GGUGAACGCUGGCGGCGUGCCUAAUACAUGCAAGUCGAGCGAACAGACGAUGAGCUUGCUCCUUUGCCGUUAGCGGCUGACGGGUGAGUAACACGUGGAUAACCUACUUAUAUUACUGGGAUAAUUUCGUGAAACCGGAGCUAAUACCGGAUAAUAUAUUGAACCGCAUGGUUCAAUAGUGAUACAGGGUUUUGCUGUUUCUUAUAGCUGGAUCCGCGCCGCAUUAGUUAGUUGGUAAGGUAACGGCUUACCAAGGCGACGAUGCGUAGCCGACCUGAGAGGGUGAUCGGCCACACUGGAACUGAGACACGGUCCCGACUCCUAAGGGAAGCAGCAGUAGGGAAUCUUCCGCAAUGGGCGAAAACCUGGCGGAGCAACGCCGCGUGAGUGAUGAAGGUCUUCGGAUCGUAAAACUCUGUUAUUAGGGAAAAAAAAAUGUGUAAGUAACUAUGCACGGUUCGACGGUAACUAAAAAGAAAGGCACGGCUAACUACGUG
RNAcentral lists this ribosomal RNA (497 nucleotides) under uncultured bacterium. RNAcentral's name for it is "partial 16S ribosomal RNA". It matches the Rfam family "Bacterial small subunit ribosomal RNA", at positions 28 to 507 of the family's 1533-position model. The record is from RNAcentral.